This 254-nucleotide long non-coding RNA is filed under the name Trifolium pratense (red clover). RNAcentral's name for it is "long non-coding RNA (TPRA_LNC010217)". The record is from RNAcentral. Lineage: Eukaryota; Viridiplantae; Streptophyta; Magnoliopsida; Fabales; Fabaceae.
UUCUCUAAUAUAUCUAUCUCAAAUUGAACAUGUCAUGUCAACCUUGCACCCCACAUCCGUAUCCUAUUUUUCAUCACACACACUGUUUUAUAUGUGACACACACACACACUAUCCUCGUAACAGAGUAAAGUUUCACAAACACUCUCUCUGAGUUACGUAGUAAUAAUGGAAUCAUCAUCAUCAUCAUCAUGGUUCAUAGCAAUUGUCUCUUUCUGCAUCAUCUUCCUCAUCAGAGCCAUCUUCUCCACCAAAA